GUGGAAACGAAAGUAUACCCCACAGGGUGGGAGUAGGCGCCAGCGGCUCCAGAGCACUGGUUAUAGAACGUUCUGGGGUUUAAAUACCCUUUAGAGGUUUCCCAGUAGUUAGUUGGUUUACACCCUAUGUAAAUAAAGGAGUGGCCCACAACCAGUCUAAUGGGUUGUGGAAGGUGACGAGUCAGACUGAAGUGAAGUUACCAAGUAAUACCCUAUGCAGAUGUCUGAUUGGUUGUAGGAAGGGGACCAAUCAGAGGUACUUGCCAUUUCUCAUCUGCGAUGCAGAAAGGGGUGCGGGUUGCAAAGGGAGUAGCCUCUGUUUUUUUGUUACUUAAGCAUGGGAAGUUGGAGUUUUCCUUUUGAUUCAUUUCUAGGAAGUCGGUGCAAACUGGCCCUGCCUCCAGACCCUAUUCUCCAGCAUGAAUUGCAUCUCAUCAAUGUCAUUUUCACUUUUGAUGAUGAAGGCUGAUUACCUUGUAGAGAGAGAAGUCAUAGGGAUGUUAUGUCCAUGGAGCGUGGCCUUAAGUGGACCUAUUUCUUGGGGUCUCCAGAUCUGUUUGGAACUUCAAAAUUAUUCAAGAAAAGGUGUCUCAUCAGCAGAAGACUGAACAGUUUUACCUAAUGGUAUCUUGAGUAGAAAUGUAACCUAGAAGAGUUUAUUGAAAAUCCUCCUGGCUGAUGCUUAUUUCUUGGAAUCCUGAGUCUUACACUUGCUACCUAAUAAAAAGAAGGAAGAUUCUUCUCAGCAAGGUGAGAAAACAGGCUGAGAGAAGUUGGAAGAAACACAGGAGCAGGGAUCCCACAUUAGACAGUCUGAUUCCAGAGAUCAGGACCUUGGCUGCAACACUAUAUGGGCUCUGGGAAAUCCAAGUGUGACUUGCUGAGGCAAGUGUGAACCCAGCUUAAGACCGUUCCUACCACAUGACACCUCAAGAGCUUCUAUCUACCAUCUACACAGAGAGGCCUGUUUUCACCUGCACAGCAUUUCUACCUGCCCAUGAAAGGCAGACUUACGCACUUUGAUGUCAAAGACCAACCAGAAAGCCAAUAAGAAGUGAGAAAUCCUGUCUCCGUAGCCAAAAUCUCAUAUAAUUCCUCCCCAGCAAUACAGAAGUCUCUCUGUUGCUACCUAGAGUAAAAAUGUCAAUACACAUCAUGUAUUAAAAUUCACCUGUAUUUUCUCAACACCUUUUCGAUAUCUUUCCAAAUUGCUUUAGUAAUCUCUGGCAUCAAGAACUGGUAAGAGUAUGUGGCAUUUUCCUUCCUGUUUGAGUAACACCUAUUAAGAGAGGUGGCAAUUAAAAUCAAAUUGUAAUUUUUAAACCUUAAGGGAAGCUAUUGCAGUAUUGCUAAGAACAUUCAGUUACCGGUAUGUUAGCUAACACCUACACCCGCUGCGAUUAGCGAUGAAACAAACUUCUACGGACCUUAAAAAACCAAACGUCUCCUUUAAAAUAAUCAUCCUAUGAGUAAACAGUCCUGUUCACACAUGUAUAUGAGAUGUCAUCCUUUCUUUGCCGUUACAGCGCUCCGCCUUGCCAAUGCUGCUGAGCACUGACUCACUCACAGGGCAUUUGGAAGGUGGGCGAUUUGUUCCUGCAGCAUCAUUGCACUCCAAAUGUGCUGAGAAUGGAUGUAGCCUCCAAUGCUGCCGUGCCAGCAGCAGCUUAGAUCAGAGGGAUCAGCAGAGGCUAUUGUCCAUUCCUCAGCAAUGCACUUGACCUUGAGAGCUAUAUAGAAUGGAAGGAAACCCACUAAAGCCAAAUUCAUGUCCUAAGAUUUAUAUCCUUUUUAGGGAUCCCACCCCUGGAACGUAAUUCAGGUCCAAAUCCUCUUCUUCUCCUUUCCAACUGCCACUGCCUUAGAGUAGUGGACUUAUCUCCACCUGCACAUUUUAGAGUCACUUGGGGCAAGGCAGGGGGCAGACGUUAAAACAUACCAGUGUCAAGGUACCAUCCCAGAGACUCUAAAUUAAUUAGUCUGUGUUGUGCCUGAAAUGAGUACUUUUUAAUACCUCCCUAGGUAUUUCUAAAGUACAGCUAGGACUGGAAACCACUGGAGUCCAGCACAAGCCUUUCUCAUUUCUUUCCUGGUUUAUGGCAAAUGCCUCCUGAAUGCCCUUCAUCUUUUGUGCCUGAGGCUAAUCACCUUUAAUGUGUUAUAAUGAUUGAAUUAUUUUUGUAUUAAUCCAUGUUUGAUGUAGAAAAAUGAGAAAAUAAAAAGCAGAAUGAAAAAAACUACAAUCAGAAAAAUGAUACAAUAUUUUGUCUUUCCUACUGGAUUUUUUAUGUACAUAAAAUAACUAUUUUCAAAAAUGAUAUCCUGCUAUAAUUCUCUGUAACCUUCUAUUCUUUGUUAACAAUAUAUUAUGGGUAAAUUUCCAUGUCAGUAAGUAUAGAUUCAUAUUAUUUUUAAUGGCUACAUAGCGUCUGAGUGGGUGGCAGUGCCUUUGUAUUUUUUAACCAAUCCUUUGUUUCAGGGUUAGGCAUCUACAUUGUUUUGUGGGUUUUUGUUGUUGUUUGUGUUGUUGUGUUUUUUUGUAUUUUGUUUAGCUAUUACAAACAACAUUGAAAUGAGCCAUUUGGAAAAAAAUUUUUUUGUGAGUUGGCCAACUUCCUUAGGAUAUAUUCCUAAAAGUAAAUUUGUUAAAUCAGUAUAUCUAUUAAUUUUUAAGAAUUCUGACAUUUGUUACAAAUUGGUCUUCUAAACCACUCAUAUACAGGUAGUACUUAAGAGUCUGUUCUUCUAGUCCUUCACUAACGCUGGCAUUACUGUAUUCUUUUUAAAUCUUUGUUUAAUCUGGUAAGUAAAGAAUGAUAGCUACCUAUUUUAAUUUGUUUAGAUUACUAGUGAGUUUGAACAUUUUUCAUCUGUUGUUUUUUGGGGGAAACUUUUGAAUAUCUCCUUUUGCAAAUAUCUUAUUUUUGUUCUAUAAGGCAUUUUCUUUUUCUUGUUUGUAUGUAUGAGUCAUUUCUAUAUCAAGGCUAUUGAAUAUCCCCCAAUUUGUCCUUUUUACUUUUUUUAAAACUUUUAUCCUUUUAACUUUAGUGGUUUUGUGGUUUACUUUUAAAUCUUUAUAUAUUCAAAUCUAUCCCUCUUUUCUGUGUGGUUUUAACUUUUCGAUGCCAUAUGUUGAAAGCUUUUCCCCAAGUUAAAAGUAUAUACUUACCUAUGUUUUUUUCUAGUACUUUUAUGGUUUUAUUUUUUAUGUAAUUAAAUCUUUGUGGCUAACUCUUAAAGUACAAAUAUGAUCAUGCCACUCCCUAAGACCUUUGCCGUCUCCCCAUUGUGUAUGUGAUACAGUUCAAGUGUCCUCAUGCCCCACACAUUAUCUGGUCACCCUUUAGCUUGCAUGUCCCUCUCAUCUUUGCUCAUAGAGCUCUUUUUUUCUCUGCAAUACUUUUUUCUCUGCAAUACACUAUGAGUCUUUUUCUCCAUGUAUAAAUAGGCUAUUACUUCAAGUUCCAUGAAAAUAGAGAACAUGACUGCUUUGAUAAUCUCAGCACCCAACAUAGUAUCUGGAAGAAAAUAUAUACUCAAUAUUUGUUAAAAGAAUGAAUAAAACAUUACCUCCCCUGGUAACCUACCUCCAAUGUCUCUGGGCAGAAUCUGUCCUUUUUCUAUUGCAUUCCUAAAACACAUCAUUCUGAUCACUGUUAUCAUAUGAUGUCAUCAUAUUGUAUUAUAAAUCAUUGAAUCUUUGCCUGUAAAUCAGGCUCAGCUCACAUUUUUAUCCCUUGCUCCUUAGCAAGGUUGGGGCAUGCAGUGGGUACUCAAUACAUGCUGUUGAACUCAGAUGAAUGAAUUCUGACGAGGUCUCCCUGUCUUGCAGUACUGCCUUGGCAUGUCCUUGUGUUAAGAAGUAAAGACCUUGACAGUCUGUAAAAAGACAACUAAAUAAUUAGGUGACAAUACAUGUGCCCAGGUAAAAUCUACAGUCAUUAAUAUGGGGUUAAAAUAGUGCACAAUAAAAAUAGUGUCUCAGAGUAAUAGUGAAGCCAUGAUAGUAAUGCCUUCUGGCACCUGCUUCUGGGGCUAUCCAUUAUGUCAUUAAGAAUCAGAGCAUCAAUCUGGCCCAGAGCCCUAUCCCUGAAUAAAUUAAAAUUUUUAAAAAGACCCUCCAGAAUUAGUAGAGAAUAAUAGUAAGCUAACCAACUAACUUUUCUCCAAGAAUGUUGUAGCUAAGCAUUACUACGCUUCCUUUCAACAGGCAGUGAGAAUUGAGUUACUCAUACUGUUCCCCUUGGCUGCCUUUAACUUAGGGGUUUGAUACAGAUUUUUUUCCUAACCUUCAACUUUUUUUCUCCUUUUAAAAUAUUUUUACAGCUUUAUGAUAUGUCUGCCUUUCAUUACAAGCCACCUCAAAUCCCUUUAGACAGUGGAGUUUCUAUUAUAAAUAAUAAUAAAAAAAUUUCCUCUGCCUCAAUUCCCUCUGUCCCAAGUGCUCAAUGCAUGAACAACAUAAACUGAGGCUUUAAGAAAUAGGAUUUCAGCCCUUUGAGAAAGCUGUAUUACAAAUUGGUUCCACUUCAUAGCUUGGAAGAAAAUUGGAGUUUUCUUUGGAUGACAUCAAUGAUCAUAAUCUCUGACAUUUAACUGACCUUGGGCAUGUCAUUUUACCACUUCAAGUUUCAGUUUUCUUAUCUGCAAAGCAACAAUGCGGGUGGGUUCCUUCCCACCCCAGAACUGUAUCUAAUCAUCUUUUCCAGGAAGAUAGGGACAAAAAGACCACCCAGGCAGCACAGGGAAAGGAAUCUCCCCUUCUAUCUGGCCCCGUAACCCUACCUUCUGUCAGUUACUCUGCUGCAGAUAAAGGGUAGGGGAGUCAAUUCCCAGCCACAUACCACCCCAGGGCUGCUCUGCCAUUCAUAGCAGCUCCCCACCAUAAAGAAGCUGGAUGAUGAGCUGACCAAGCGUCCUGACUGGACUGCUGUUUAUGGCAUUGUGCUUUCAUUUGUGUGCCCAAGAGGCGACUAGCAAUAGGUUAACUUGGUGCUCCUACAAAGGAAAGUCUUUUGCUUUUCUUUCUCAACUAUAUCUUAGGUUUUAAUUAAUUAAAUUAAUAUGGGGCUUAAUAGCAGACAUGUUUUGGACCUUGGAGCCUGUUUACCCUCAUCUUACCCAAGGGGCACUGUGGACCCAGGCUAAGACGCUGCCAAAGAGUUUUCUGUGUCUAGGAGACAAAGCACACCCUGUAGCCUUCAGGAGUGCUGGGUUAUCCCAAGCCCACCAAAGAGCCUGCAAAGAGUGUGCUAGCAGGACUGGGAACAUUCGUCUCCUAGCUUUCUCUAAGAAGCAGGCACACUCUCCUCUUCACACUGUGGCCUAGGUCUGAUCAAAGGCGGUAGAGAAGGUAGCUUUCCCUUCCACAUCUGACCAACAAAAGCAGCCCCGGUGGGGGGAGACUGGAAGUGAGUAUCGCAGUGGUUCCUCAGCUUACCUUAUACCUUCCAGAUAAGUCAGUGAUACAUGCCACAGGGCUGACUGUAUUUUGAGGCCCUCCCAUAGCUCCAGAAGCCAGCCCAUUCUAUCAGGCUGUACUCGGGACAAAGGAGGCAGCCCCAGCCCAGGUACUUAAGUAGACACAGCAUUUGGCCUCAAGGUUAAGAGUACAGUCAGUGGUCCUAAACUGCCUUUUUUGUAGCUUGGUUAUGGUAACUUGAGUGCAAUUGUUUAACCUCUCCCUAUCUCAGUUUCUUCAUCAGAGAAAGGGGGCUGCUGUGAUAGUUGGUACGUACGGAGUAUAUGGAACAGUGCCUGGUAGGGAAUAAGUCCCGUAAAAGUUAAUCAUUUUAUAUACAUCAAAUAAGUCUGUUCUACCUCUUUUGUCCCCCCAGACGAAGCUCAUAGAAUGAUUCACAUUGAUAUUCAUGUUUAAGCCUUAAGCCUUUUUUGUUCUUCUAAGACUUCCUUUGGUGGUGUACAUUUUGAUUGUAUCUGCUGGAAUAACAAUGCUGAUGGUUGGUGGGGUUGGGAGGAAGGAUAGAGAGGGAGGGAGAAAUAACAUUAACUGCCUAAGAGAUUUCUCUGAAAGAGCACAUGAAUAUUGAAUGAUGACUUGAUUUUACCAACAAAACCCAUAAUUAUUGCUUUGCAUCAAGGGUGAGGUUGACUUAAAUCAUCAAGACUUGAGAAUGAACUCAUAAUCAGAAAACGUGGACUAUUAAGUUUUGUUUGCUUGCUUGUUUUUGCAUAUAUCUAACCCAAAUCUUGUGUUAUUUCAAAUGGUGCUAUAUUUGCCUAUGCUUGUAAAUUGAAUAACAUCAAUAUGCAAAACUGAUGCAUUUUUCUUUUUAGGGAGAACAUAAUCUCCCAAAGCCACUCCAUUGGUGAUGUGACUUGAUUUUUUUCUGAAUCAAGAAAUUUGGAUAAACUUGGUGAUUCAGAAGGAUUGAUUACUACAGAUAACCCACUUAUGCUUAACUAGGUCUUGAACCAUGAAUGCAUGAACUUUAAUUUGCAAGCCUCUUUCUCCACAGCUAGCCAUGGUUAGAGAGAGAUGUUAUGGAGGAAGGACGAGUAAAACUCCAAGUUAUUAAGGAGGAAAAAGAGGCUGCUUAGUUGAUUAAUCAUUGUAGAAGCCUCCAUCACAUUCAGCCUGGGAGAUUUCAUUCAUUCACACAAACGCCUGCCACUUUCUACACCCAGGAGUUGUAUCAUCCACCAGGCACACUAGAAAUGUGGUUAGUGCUACCAAGGACCUAAUGUUUUAAUCUGGUUUAAUUUUAAUUAAUUUAAAUUCAAAUAGCACAUGUGGCUAGUGGCUACUGUAUUGCACAGUACAGGCAUAAGAACAUUUCUACUCAAAUCUUCAUGAUGAUACGAUGGGCUUUAACAAACCCUUGAUAAUAAAAGGCAAAAGCUGCAAAUGUUAUAGGUCAAUAUUCUCUCCACAAAUCUUUAUUUUUAAGUUUUAAAAAUAUAACCCAAAUGUUUGUGUUCCCUCAACCUCUUCUUCAAGGUCCUAAGAAACAUUGAGGAAAGAGAUAAUCGUAGGAUAGAAUUUUUCUUUUCUUUUCAAGUACCUACAAUUCUCAGAUGUUAGACUGACUUCUUCCAUAACUGACUUUUAAAUCAAAGUAUCCAAAAAUGAAUAUGCAAAUACAUUGUCAAUGAUUUCAAUUCAGGAAGAAGCUGCUCCAAGAUCUCAUUAUUCUGAAUGACAUGGAAGAAUCACGUACACAUUGCCCAUUUCCUAUCUCAUUAUUUUCUGGUGUAGAACUGCAAAUCCCAUUAGCAGAUUUUCCUUCAGCCCCCUGAACAAUCUGUGAGUGACUCACACUUUAGAACAUCUUUGCUGCUGGAUUACUUUGAAAGGCAGAAGUUGGGACGGUGUCAGGGAUAGGCUGAAGAUGAGAGGAAUACCUAACACGUGCCUUGUUUGCAAAUUUUCAUUUCAGUCAUUUAAAAAGUAAUUAAGGAAAGAGGAUCUUGAUAAGAUAGAAUUCAACUCCCCUCUUUUAAUGGAUUCAGGGAAUGAGGAAACAUAAAGAUAAUCCAUCAUCGCAUUACUGCCAUCACCAGAGUUGUCUGUUUCAAAGAGCCUCUUUCCUUCACCAGGAGGACACAGAGCUUCGUGUGCUCAUUUGGGUGUCAAGAAAUAAUAAAAUGAUAAAUCUGCAGACUUGGAAACAGCAGCUCUCAGAUCAGAGCUGAAAAUGUCUGCUCUGUGUUCUGUGGGUCUUUGCUUCUUGUGAGUCCAGACACCUGUCACAAAACUAUGUGGCUGUGGGUGGCCCUAUUUGUAGGAUUUCUAAGCCAUCUGACCCUAGAUAAACCUUGGUGCUUUUUAAGAGCCAGCUUAGGUGCUGGACCAAAUGGUGAAAAAUUGCUUCCUGACUAAUUGAUGAGCCAGGGUGCUUUGAUGUUACAAGUGUGGUUGGAGCCUAAUGCAGCCAUAUCAUGAGGAACACUGUGUCAUCAGCGGGAUGUGGAAAACCACUCCUCAACUGCUUACCAAGAGGCAAACCGUCAAUAAUGAGAUGGUUUGGAAGCUGAGGUUAUGAGUCAUUCAUGUAGAUGCAGGUAGAGGCUGGUCCUAGGCCCCCAGCGACACUGAUAUAAAAGAAUUUAUAAGCAUGUAUUUUAGGACAAUUUUACAAAAUAACAGAAAAUAUCCAUUGAGUCCUUAGUGUGUUUUUCACACAUUAUCUUUAACCUCACCACACCAUUUUUGAUAGGUUCAAGUAUUUUUUUUCUCUUCCCCACAUGAAAGAAGCAUGACUUGGAGAGGUUAAAAUUCCCACCCAAGAUCAUGCAUUUAAAAAGUGAGAAAACCAAUAUUCAAAUUUAGGUCUUUCUGACCCCAGAGCCUGUGAUUUUUCUGUUUCACUAAGGCCAGUUGCAGAGAUAUGCUUGUCUCAGCUGUUUUCCAGUAUGAUGUAUCUGAAGGACAAGAGGAAGAAUUUCAAAAAAGUCUCCAAUUUUCUUGCCUUAGAGCAUCUACCGAAAGAAAAAAAAAAAUGAGAGAGAACCCAAAGUCAAAGAUAAGAGCCCUGGAAGAAUCUGCUCUGAAGAAUGGCCUUGGGGCCAACUCAGUAUUUACUCAAUUCAUAAAGGAACUGAGCUGGAGUCCUCAUUAGUUGGGUGUGUCCUUGGUAAACCAAUUAUUAAACCCUGGUAUGAGGGAUGAAAUGGCUUUGUGUUUAGUUUUUGGCUUUAUCAAUUUCUGAUGACUAUCCACAAAAAUUAUAAAUACAUAAACAUUUUUCUACAGCGAUUCUUCUUUCAGAAAAGUAACCUACAGAUAUACUUGUAUAUGUACUAAAGGAUGAAUGUACAAGGUUGUUCCUUGGAGCGUUUUGUAGUAAAAAAUAGGAAACAACCCAAGUUUUUAUCAAUAGAGAACUGAUUCAAUAAAUUAUAGAACAUCCAUACAAGAGAAUACUAUAAACUAUAAAGAAGAAUGAGAAAGCUUCCUAUAAAAUGAUACAGAAAGAGCUCUAGGAUAUAUAGUUAAUUGAAAAAAGGAAGGUAUUAAACAUUGUUUAUAACAUGGUAACUUUUGUGUAAAAGAAGUAAGAAGAAAAGAAGCUCAUGCUUCCUGAUAGAACAUAAAGAGACUAUGGAAGAAACUAAGAAUAGUGGUUACCAUGGCGCUGGAAAGAAAGAGCAUGGCAGAUGAGGGACAAGGAUGGUAUGGAGUGUUUUACCCGUUUUGGAUUUUCAAACAUGCAAAUAGUAUUCAAGGAAUAAAUCAAAAGAUGAAAAUGACAAGUCCUAUGCUAAAAGAUACAUUCUCUGAGAACAUAUUCACAAUAGGGCUGUGCUUUUUUUCUCUGAUGAAGAACACCAGACUCUUAAGCCAAUGGCCAGGGUCGAAAUGCUUACUUUGCCACUUCCUAACGGUGUUAAAUUUUCUGAGUCUCAGUUUUCUCAUUUUAAAUAAAAAAGAAGAAAUAACAUC
This 9406-nucleotide long non-coding RNA is filed under the name Homo sapiens (human). RNAcentral describes it as "HSALNT0089647". The record is from RNAcentral. Lineage: Eukaryota; Metazoa; Chordata; Mammalia; Primates; Hominidae.